AUAGCUCAAAUUUGAAAUCUGGCGAAAGCCCGAGUUGUAAUUUGUAGAGGAUGCUUUUGGCAGAGCCGCGGGUUCAAGUGCCCUGGAAUGGGUUGCCAUCAUAGAGGGUGAGAGUCCCGUAUGUCGGCUCGCGGUAGACGCCAGUCAAAGCUCCUUCGACGAGUCGAGUUGUUUGGGAGUGCAGCUCUAAUUGGGAGGUAAAUUCCUUCUAAAGCUAAAUAUGGGCCAGAGACCGAUAGCGAACAAGUAGAGUGAUCGAAAGAUGAAAAGUACAGUGAAAACUGGGUGAAAUAGUACGUGAAAUUGUUGAAAGGGAAGCGCUUGCAAUCAGACAUUGCAGCAACGGGCUGAACCUUGUGUUCAUAAGUUGCUUGUGGGCUAGCAUCAGUUUGGGUGGUGGUAGAAAGGCGAGGGGAAUGUGGCCCGUGGAUGGGCUUGCGCCUAGAUCGGGUGUUUAUAGCCCCUCGUGCCAUGCCACCUACCUAGACUGAGGGUUCGCGCGGGGUCUCCCCGCAAGGAUGCUGGCGUAAUGGUUGUAAGCGGCCCGUCUUGAAACACGGACCAAGGAGUCUAACAUCUGCGCGAGUGUUUAGGUGUCAAGCCUAUGCGCGUAAUGAAAGUAAACGUAGGUGGGAAACCAUCGGUCCUCGCGGACUGAGGUGGCACCAUCGACCGAUCCGGAUGUUUUCGGAUGGAUUUGAGUAAGAGCGCAGCUGUUGGGACCCGAAAGAUGGUGAACUAUGCCUGUGUAG
Molecule: ribosomal RNA, 752 nt
Filed under: Coreomyces sp. 4 HS-2019
Lineage: Eukaryota; Fungi; Ascomycota; Laboulbeniomycetes; Laboulbeniales; Laboulbeniaceae
Description: partial large subunit ribosomal RNA
Rfam family: Eukaryotic large subunit ribosomal RNA
Source: RNAcentral